CCUACGGGAGGCUGCAGUGGGGAAUAUUGCGCAAUGGGCGAAAGCCUGACGCAGCGACGCCGCGUGAGGGAUGAAGGUCUUCGGAUCGUACACCUCUGUCAGCAGGGAAGUACGGUCACUGAGCUAAUCAGCAGUGAAUUGACGGUACCUGCAAAGGAAGCACCGGCUAACUCCGUGCCAGCAGCCGCGGUAAUACGGAGGGUGCGAGCGUUAAUCGGAAUUACUGGGCGUAAAGCGCGAGUAGGCGGUAUGUCAAGUCAAGGGUGAAAUCCCCGCGCUCAACGUGGGAACUGCCUUUGAAACUGGCAAACUGGAGUGUGUUAGAGGUAAGUGGAAUUCCAGGUGUAGGAGUGAAAUCCGUAGAUAUCUGGAGGAACAUCAGUGGCGAAGGCGACUAUCUGGCACAUAACUGACGCUGAGGAGCGAAAGCGUGGGUAGCAAACAGGAUUAGAUACCCGUGUAGUC
Molecule: ribosomal RNA, 465 nt
Filed under: uncultured bacterium
Lineage: Bacteria
Description: partial 16S ribosomal RNA
Rfam family: Bacterial small subunit ribosomal RNA
Source: RNAcentral